UUCUGGCUCAGGAUGAACGCUAGCUACAGGCUUAACACAUGCAAGUCGAGGGGCAGCAUGUGGUGCUGCACCGAUGAUGGCGACCGGCGCACGGGUGAGUAACGCGUAUCCAACCUCCCUAUAGUAGAGGAUAGCCCGGCGAAAGUCGGAUUAAUACUCUAUGUUGUUCAAUGCAGACAUCUAAGUUGAAUCAAAGGUUCACCGCUGUAGGAUGGGGAUGCGUCUGAUUAGGUAGUCGGCGGGGUAACGGCCCACCGAGCCAUCGAUCAGUAGGGUUCUGAGAGGAAGGUCCCCCACAUUGGAACUGAGACACGGUCCAAACUCCUACGGGAGGCAGCAGUGAGGAAUAUUGGUCAAUGGGCGAGAGCCUGAACCAGCCAAGUAGCCGUGCAGGAUGACGGCCCUAUGGGUUGUAAACUGCUUUUAUACAGGGAUAAAGUCGGGGACGUGUCCCCGUUUGUAGGUACUGUGUGAAUAAGGACCGGCUAAUUCCGUGCCAGCCGCUGC
This 507-nucleotide ribosomal RNA is filed under the name uncultured bacterium. RNAcentral describes it as "bacterial SSU rRNA". It matches the Rfam family "Bacterial small subunit ribosomal RNA", at positions 17 to 518 of the family's 1533-position model. The record is from RNAcentral.